CCAAUAGCGUAUAUUAAAGUUGUUGCAGUUAAAAAGCUCGUAGUUGAAUUUCGGGAUUAAUAUGCUGGUCGUGCCAUUGGUACGUACUAGUAUUAUUGAUUUCUCCCUUCUGAUGAAUCAUGAUGUCAUUAAUUUGAUGUCAUGGGGAAUCAGGACUGUUACUUUGAAAAAAUUAGAGUGUUUAAAGCAGGCUCGCGCUUGAAUACAUUAGCAUGGAAUAAUGAAAUAGGACGUUUGAUUCUAUUUUGUUGGUUUCUAGGAUUGACGUAAUGAUUAAUAGGGAUAGUUGGGGGCAUUAGUAUUCAAUUGUCAGAGGUGAAAUUCUUGGAUUUAUUGAAGACUAACUACUGCGAAAGCAUUUGCCAAGGAUGUUUUCAUUAAUCAAGAACGAAAGUUAGGGGAUCGAAGACGAUCAGAUACCGUCGUAGUCUUAACCAUAAACUAUGCCGACUAGGGAUCGGAUGAUGUUAAUUAUG
This 476-nucleotide ribosomal RNA is filed under the name uncultured Glomus. RNAcentral describes it as "SSU rRNA". It matches the Rfam family "Eukaryotic small subunit ribosomal RNA", at positions 591 to 1071 of the family's 1831-position model. Lineage: Eukaryota; Fungi; Glomeromycota; Glomeromycetes; Glomerales; Glomeraceae. The record is from RNAcentral.